Ictalurus punctatus (channel catfish) is the source of this 504-nucleotide long non-coding RNA. The record is from Ensembl. NCBI's taxonomy places the organism in Eukaryota, Metazoa, Chordata, Actinopteri, Siluriformes, Ictaluridae.
AUGUUUUACACACAUUAAUCUCUUUAUAUAUUAUUCUCAAUUUCUCUGCUUUCUCAGGUCAAUAUGCAUGCACAACAACAGUAAACUCAAUGCCCUAUGUUAUCUGGCAAACCAUUACAAUUCAGCCAUACCCCAAUAUCCAAGUGAAUAGUGGCAAAGUUGUAAAAUGCGAGGACACAGUAAUCGCACUGCAGUGUUGUGUUCAGGGGAGUUAUGAAGUGAAAUGGACUGACCCUGUAGCUUGCAACUCAACUUCAACAGUCCCACUGAAAGGCUGCACAUUAUGUGAAUAUAAAAUUAACAAGCAGGACUGCCAGUCUACUGACCAAGUUAUACUGGUCACAUGUCAACUCACAUCACCUAUCAGUGGAAGUACAACUCAAAGUUACAAUUCAAAGAGCAUCAAAAUAGAUGUCAUAAAAGGGGCAUUUACCUGCUCUGAUAGUGUAUUUGGAGCUGGAAAUCUGGGAGACGAACACAUUGGUGACUGUAAUGGAAACAUGG